UCCCGAACACGGUAGUUAAGCUUCUCUGCGCCAAUGGUAGUUGGGGGCUUCCCCCUGCGAGAGUAGGUCGCUGCCGGGC
RNAcentral lists this ribosomal RNA (79 nucleotides) under Listeria monocytogenes. Lineage: Bacteria; Bacillati; Bacillota; Bacilli; Caryophanales; Listeriaceae. The record is from RNAcentral.